This is an unclassified non-coding RNA of Mesocricetus auratus (golden hamster), 312 nucleotides long. Its record names the gene 7SK. It matches the Rfam family "7SK RNA". From Rfam's summary of the family: 7SK was discovered as an abundant small nuclear RNA in the mid-70s but a possible function has only recently been suggested. Two independent studies have found that 7SK RNA binds the CDK9/cyclin T complex (known as elongation factor P-TEFb). P-TEFb activates transcription by phosphorylating the C-terminal domain of RNA polymerase II. The record is from Ensembl. NCBI's taxonomy places the organism in Eukaryota, Metazoa, Chordata, Mammalia, Rodentia, Cricetidae.
GGAUGUGAGGGCCACACACAUAGCUGUAACACCUUUCACCUCAUUGACUGCCAGGACUGAUUUGGUUGGUCUGAUUGAAUAGAUAGGUGUCCCCUUCCUCCCUUGUAGUGCCUCUCUCUGGAAGGUGGUUGCUCAGUUGGUCAAAGAGGAUGACUUUUCCCUUAAUAGAGGAAGACCAGCCUUUGAUCAGGGGCACGCAGGUAACUACCACCUCUGUUAGAACCUCCAAACAAGCACUCAAGAGUCUGCCUAUACAUUUGAAAGAGAACAGACUUUGCCUCUAGGUUGUAAGUGGUAUGAUAGCACAUACCU